UACAGAGGGUGCAGGCGUUAAUCGGAAUUACUGGGCGUAAAGCGCGCGUAGGUGGUUUGGUAAGUCGGAUGUGAAAUCCCCGGGCUCAACCUGGGAACUGCAUUCGAAACUGCCUGGCUAGAGUUUGAGAGAGGGAAGUGGAAUUCCACAUGUAGCGGUGAAAUGCGUAGAGAUGUGGAGGAACACCGAUGGCGAAGGCAGCCCCCUGGGCUAACACUGACGCUCAGGCACGAAAGCGUGGGGAGCAAACAGG
RNAcentral lists this ribosomal RNA (253 nucleotides) under uncultured bacterium. RNAcentral's name for it is "partial 16S ribosomal RNA". It matches the Rfam family "Bacterial small subunit ribosomal RNA", at positions 524 to 776 of the family's 1533-position model. The record is from RNAcentral.